UACGGGGGGGGUAAGCGUUGUUCGGAAUUACUGGGCGUAAAGGGCUCGUAGGCGGCCAACUAAGUCGGACGUGAAAUCCCUCAGCUUAACUGAGGAACUGCGUCCGAUACUGGAUGGCUUGGAUUCGGGAGAGGAAUGCGGAAUUCCAGGUGUAGCGGUGAAAUGCGUAGAUAUCUGGAGGAACACCGGUGGCGAAGGCGGCAUUCUGGACCGACAUUGACGCUGAGGAGCGAAAGCGUGGGGAGCAAACAGG
Molecule: ribosomal RNA, 253 nt
Filed under: uncultured bacterium
Lineage: Bacteria
Description: partial 16S ribosomal RNA
Rfam family: Bacterial small subunit ribosomal RNA
Source: RNAcentral